GACGAACGCUGGCGGCGUGCUUAACACAUGCAAGUCGAACGGAAAGGCCCUGCUUGCGGGGUACUCGAGUGGCGAACGGGUGAGUAACACGUGGGUGAUCUGCCCUGCACUUCGGGAUAAGCCUGGGCAACUGGGUCUAAUACCGGAUAGGAGCCAUUUUUAGUGUGAUGGUUGGAAAGUUUUUUCGGUGUAGGAUGAGCUCGCGGCCUAUCAGCUUGUUGGUGGGGUAAUGGCCUACCAAGGCGGCGACGGGUAGCCGGCCUGAGAGGGUGGACGGCCACAUUGGGACUGAGGUACGGCCCAGACUCCGACGGGAGGCAGCAGUGGGGAAGAUUGCACAAUGGGCGCAAGCCUGAUGCAGCGACGCCGCGUGGGGGAUGACGGCCUUCGGGUUGUAAACUCCGUUCGCUAGGGACGAAGCUUUUUGUGACGGUACCUAGAUAAGAAGCACCGGCUAACUACGUG
This 465-nucleotide ribosomal RNA is filed under the name uncultured bacterium. RNAcentral's name for it is "partial 16S ribosomal RNA". It matches the Rfam family "Bacterial small subunit ribosomal RNA", at positions 28 to 507 of the family's 1533-position model. The record is from RNAcentral.